This 1889-nucleotide long non-coding RNA is filed under the name Sarcophilus harrisii (Tasmanian devil). Its description in RNAcentral is "lncRNA (ENSSHAG00000030213.1)". Lineage: Eukaryota; Metazoa; Chordata; Mammalia; Dasyuromorphia; Dasyuridae. The record is from RNAcentral.
AUGAGAAAGAGACAGAGCAAAACAACUAGCUGGUUGAGACUCCUUUGUGACAAAGCAGCACAGCUCUGGGGAGGUUUGUCUCUAGGAGAGUCUUUAGUAUUGUCCUUUGAGAUAAAAGUGUUGGAAGUAUCAGCUGCAGAAUGCACUGAAGUCUGGGGAAAGGAUGCUUGUGUCCCAAGGGAUGAAGGAAAGAAGAAUUGAGAAGACAGGAAAAAAAAGAACUGAAGCAUGACAUCACUUACCGAAAUCAUAACAAGCUGUUGGGACAAAGGAGUUCCAUUCCUUCCAGCCAAUGCUUUCUAAACUGAGGUUCACAUUAUGAUAUCUAAUCAACUAAAGGACAAAGUCUAAAGUUGUCACCACAAAAAAUCUCUUCUAUCCAGUAUAUUGCAGGAAAUGUUGACAGUCCGUUUGGCUGAGUCAUAUUGGUAGGUAGCUUGCAAUGCAGCUUUCCUUACUGACAGCUAUUCAACAGAGAAAUAAUGGAUUUUCAGCAUUGGUGCUGUCGCUCUGGUACCUAUUCUGAGCAGCCCUGUCACUUAAUCCUUCUGAUAGCAUCUCUGUUGACUUGAUACAAAGAUGAUGCGACUGUUACUUUGCUAACAGAUGCCAUAUUAUAAAUCUUAUUUAACUAUCAUGAGCAAUUUGAAUCCGAGGAGUUCUUUAAUUAAAACAUCUUCUAAAAUGCAGUCUCCAUGCUGUCUUUUGUUUCCUUCUUUAGUUUUUUGGAGGAUUAUCUUAAUUUCCAGUAUUUGAGGAACAAGGCUUCUAAGGUAUUGGAGAAAAUAGCUCAUAUAUUAAGGAAACUUUUGGGUAACCUAAAUCUGCACUUAUAGUGUGGAAGACCCUUCACCUCAAAAAUAUUUCUGAGUUAGCCUACAUUGGAUAAAUGAGGUUUUAAUUUCUAAUCCUCAAAUAAGCAAUUUGGUAGCCUUGAGGAUAUAGGAUGGGCAAAAAUAGGAAGAACUGCUAACCUUUAUUGUUCCAAAUCAGGGGUUCUGAAAUUUUUUUGUCAUGGAUUCCUUGACAGGCUAUUAAAGUUUAACAAUGUUUUUAAAUGCAUAAAAUGCACAGUUAAAAUGGAAAUCAAUUAUAUUGAAAUGCAAUUAUGAAAAUCUAUAUUUUAAAAUUCACCUGCACCUGGAAAUUUAUUUACAGACUCUCAUGGACCCCAGUUUAAAAACCCCUGCUCUCAAUGUUCUUUAGAUAUGUAGGUAUUAUUUGGAUUCCUAGGGCCCCAACCAAGUUAAGUACCUGAAGACUGACUUUCUACUCAUUGUCUUACUGUAACACAAUUUCAGAGCUAUGCCAUUCUAAUCUAAACAUCUCAUUUUACAGGCAAACAAGUUUAAGCCGAGAAAAUGAUGGGAUAUGGCCAUGGUCACACAGGCAGUAAGUAAAAAAAUCAGGAUUUGAAUCUGUGUUUUCUGACUCCAAAUCCCAUAAGCUUUUUAUACCUUGUUAUUACCCAGACUUCUCUUUCCUAGUGAAUGAUGCUUUUCAUUAUACUAUUUGGUCUCAAAUAUUUCCUUUCUGUCUAUACUUGUAGAAGGAAAAGAAUAGGAAAAUAUGGAAAAUACCUUAUAUAGACCCAAUCAGUUUCAGAAUAUGGCUAUGACUCAAAAGUGGGAUGUUUAUUAUUGUUCUUAUUUUGUAGUGAUUCUGUGUAAAUUUAUAUGUAUGCAUGUUCCUUACUUAUUUAGAAAGGAAGUGGGAAUUCUUUCAUUCCUAUGAUUUAGAAGCAUUCUCCCUUUACUUAGAAACGACUUUGUAACCAACUAAUUAAACAUAUAACUAUAUAUGAAAUCUUUUAACUGUAUACUCAAACAUUUAAACAAAAAGUAUGACGAUAAUAUUAAGGUAAGAAAGCGCUAGACCUAUCUAUGGAG